This is a long non-coding RNA of Tarenaya hassleriana, 284 nucleotides long. RefSeq lists it as uncharacterized. The transcript has 2 exons. Lineage: Eukaryota; Viridiplantae; Streptophyta; Magnoliopsida; Brassicales; Cleomaceae. The record is from RefSeq and is a predicted model, not a curated record.
CGUCACGAAAAAGAAAAAAAAAACAACUGGCAUAAUCCAGGUCGUGAGCAACAAUAGUGACUGAGGCAGACGUGGGUUCCGGUGACAAUUGGACUAUCCAGAUCAUGUAUAAUUAUUUUGUCAUACUUUAUUUUUUUAAAAUAAAGAGUGGUGAUCUUUAGACUCUUGUAUUAUACAAUUCACCAUUCGUACUAUAUACUGAUAUCUUCAAGUACGUGUACAAAUGUAUUUCUGUAUUUUAUAAUGUCUUCCGCUGUAUUAUAAUUAAAAUGAAUGUUUUAAUC